RNAcentral lists this ribosomal RNA (200 nucleotides) under uncultured bacterium. RNAcentral's name for it is "partial 16S ribosomal RNA". It matches the Rfam family "Bacterial small subunit ribosomal RNA", at positions 28 to 229 of the family's 1533-position model. The record is from RNAcentral.
GAUGAACGCUGGCGGCGUGCUUAACACAUGCAAGUCGAACGAUGAUCCCAGCUUGCUGGGGGAUUAGUGGCGAACGGGUGAGUAACACGUGAGUAACCUGCCCUUGACUCUGGGAUAAGCCUGGGAAACUGGGUCUAAUACCGGAUAUGACCGCUCUGACGCAUGUCAGGUGGUGGAAAGCUUUUGUGGUUUUGGAUGGA